ACUACGGGAGGCAGCAGUGGGGAAUAUUGCACAAUGGGGGAAACCCUGAUGCAGCGACGCCGCGUGAGUGAAGAAGUAUUUCGGUAUGUAAAGCUCUAUCAGCAGGGAAGAAAAUGACGGUACCUGAUUAAGAAGCCCCGGCUAACUACGUGCCAGCAGCCGCGGUAAUACGGAGGGGGCAAGCGUUAUACGGAUUUACUGGGUGUAAAGGGCGCGUAGACGGCAGCACAAGUCUGGAGUGAAAUGCCGGGGCUUAACCCCGGAACUGCUUUGGAAACUGUGCAGCUAGAGUGCAGGAGAGGUAAGUGGAAUUCCUGGUGUAGCGGUGAAAUGCGUAGAUAUUAGGAGGAACACCAGUGGCGAAGGCGGCUUACUGGACUGUAACUGACGUUGAGGCUCGAAAGCGUGGGGAGCAAACAGGAUUAGAUACCCGAGUAGUC
RNAcentral lists this ribosomal RNA (440 nucleotides) under uncultured bacterium. RNAcentral describes it as "partial 16S ribosomal RNA". It matches the Rfam family "Bacterial small subunit ribosomal RNA", at positions 338 to 795 of the family's 1533-position model. The record is from RNAcentral.